AACCUUAUGGACCUGCGGGCGUAUACCUGCGGAAGGAUCAUUAACCUUUCAAAUCAGGGUGCGGCGCGGCCCCCGGGGAGCGGAAACAAUCCUUGGGAGGUAUGCGGGGGCUUCGAGCCCCCCAUUUACGCACGCACGACUGCCAUCCUUACUUUACGAGCACCUUCUGUUCUCCCUCGGCGGGGCAACCUGCCGUUGGAACCGAAUAAACUCUUUUUGCAUCUAGCAUUACCUGUUCCG
This 240-nucleotide unclassified non-coding RNA is filed under the name soil metagenome. RNAcentral's name for it is "partial contains 5.8S ribosomal RNA, internal transcribed spacer 2, and large subunit ribosomal RNA". The record is from RNAcentral.